UGUAUUCUGUAGCGUAUGAGGAUUUCAAGUGAAAAUUAGAUGUUGGAUUUCAUAUUUGUUACAUGUUAAACUGUUGGAAUUAGUGAGGACUGUUAUAAAUCUGCAUACAACGAAAAACUAGCAAAUGAAAACUGUUCAAUAAAAAACAUAACAAAAAUUUGUCACCAAAUUCACUUGCUUGAAAUGGUCAAAAUUACUUUCUACGCGAUGGCUGUGGUCCAGUUUUCUAACAAAUAUUAACUUAAAUAAGUAUUUAAUCCUCCAUGCAGAGCAGAAUGGAUGGAGUAAGGCUAAUGUGUUAAUAAAAUAGAAUUUUUUUAAGAUAAUAAUCCCAAAAGUAUAAUGAUCGGGUGUCCUAGCUAGCUUGGUUCAAAUGCGGAUGUGGUCCAGUUAUAUUUUCAUACUCAAUAGGUUAGUGUGAUAAUGAUCGGAAGUCCUGGGUUCGAAUCCUGACCUGGUCCAGUUGUAUUUUUAUACUCAAUAGGUUAGUGUGAUAAUGAUCGGAAGUCCUGGGUUCGAAUCCUGACCUGGUCCAGUUGUAU
This is a long non-coding RNA of Mizuhopecten yessoensis (Yesso scallop), 542 nucleotides long. RefSeq lists it as uncharacterized. The transcript has 2 exons. NCBI's taxonomy places the organism in Eukaryota, Metazoa, Mollusca, Bivalvia, Pectinida, Pectinidae. The record is from RefSeq and is a predicted model, not a curated record.